Molecule: ribosomal RNA, 390 nt
Filed under: Feylinia polylepis
Lineage: Eukaryota; Metazoa; Chordata; Lepidosauria; Squamata; Scincidae
Description: partial 12S ribosomal RNA
Rfam family: Bacterial small subunit ribosomal RNA
Source: RNAcentral
GCUCAGCCAUAAACAAUAGACAAUACAAAUACAUAUUGUUCGCCAGAGAACUACAAGUGAAAAACUCAAAACUCCAAGGACUUGGCGGUGCCCCACACCGACCUAGAGGAGCCUGUCCUACAAUCGAUACCCCACGCUAAACCCAACCACCCCUCGCCAAUCAGCCUAUAUACCGCCGUCGUCAGCCCACCUUAUGAAAGAAGAACAGUUGGCAAGAUAGUUAACAACAAACACGUCAGGUCAAGGUGUAGCACAUGAGGUGGCAGAGAUGGGCUACAUUCUCUACUCCAGAACACACGGAUGGCAUAAUGAAACCUUAUACCUAAAGGCGGAUUUAGCAGUAAGACAAACAAGUAUUUCUGUCUUAAACCAGCUCUGGGGCGCGCACAC